AUUGAACGCUGGCGGCAUGCCUUACACAUGCAAGUCGAACGGCAGCACGGGGGCAACCCUGGUGGCGAGUGGCGAACGGGUGAGUAACAUAUCGGAACAUACCCUAGAGUGGGGGAUAACGUAGCGAAAGUUACGCUAAUACCGCAUACGAUCUAAGGAUGAAAGUGGGGGAUCUUCGGACCUCAUGCUCAUGGAGUGGCCGAUAUCUGAUUAGCUAGUUGGUGAGGUAAAGGCUCACCAAGGCGACGAUCAGUAGCUGGUUUGAGAGAACGACCAGCCACACUGGAACUGAGACACGGUCCAGACUCCUACGGGAGGCAGCAGUGGGGAAUAUUGGACAAUGGGGGAAACCCUGAUCCAGCGAUGCCGCGUGAGUGAUGAAGGCCUUCGGGUUGUAAAGCUCUUUUAUCCGGGUACGAUAAUGACGGUACCGGAAGAAUAAGCUCCGGGCUAACCUUCGUGCCAGCAGCCGCGGUAAU
RNAcentral lists this ribosomal RNA (479 nucleotides) under uncultured bacterium. RNAcentral describes it as "bacterial SSU rRNA". It matches the Rfam family "Bacterial small subunit ribosomal RNA", at positions 30 to 524 of the family's 1533-position model. The record is from RNAcentral.